Molecule: long non-coding RNA, 1386 nt
Organism: Alligator mississippiensis (American alligator)
Lineage: Eukaryota; Metazoa; Chordata; Crocodylia; Alligatoridae
Exons: 2
Source: RefSeq, a predicted model, not a curated record
UAUGGAUUGGGAAGAGAGGUCUGUCCAUGCAGGAGGAAGCUGUCCUAGUUCAGAGGCAGAGGGGUUGAAUUUUCUGAAGCUGCUCGAAGAUGAAGAAGAAUAUUAAGCAUGUGUGGUACUAUUUCUACUGGCUCUUCUGGCAGUUUCAACUAAUCACCUGUAGCUAUCUUAUGGACCCAUGUGAAAAAAUAAUCUUCUACAGUUUUACCAUUUUUGUCUUUGUUAUCAUGAUUUAUACUGUUUUCACCUGUAUCUCUUUCCACAUCUGUCUGAUCAUUAAGUUCUUCUUACACACAUUUGGAAGUGAUCCUGAAAGCAAUAUUUACAUUAUAAAAUAACCUGGUCAUGGCUUUUGAGCCCUGCAACCUCUUUCCAUAAACUUGUGCAUUUCUGUUCAGAGGCAGUUUAAACUGACAAGGCUGUGCAUAUAAUUUCUUUUGCCCUCCCUCCCCCCAGUCGUUUUUGUACUGCAUUGUCUUUUGACUUUUCUUUCCCAUAGGAACAUCUUCCAGGGAAGGUGGAAUUGCAACAUGUGCUUCUUAGCUAUUUUCCACACUAGGUCAGUUUCCUAGUGAAAACUGGGUGCAAAUUUUGAGUGAUUUGCAAGAUGCAAUAUUGGAGUUAAGGGGCCACGUUGUAUACUCAUUUUGUAUUUCUAGAUUUAAAGCUCAUGUUUUUGAGUUAACUUUUUUUUUUUCAGGCACUUGUCAAGUGUUAUUGGAAAUCUGCUUAAUUUUUACUGAAUACCUGUGCUGCCUGAAAACUUCCUAAAUGUUUUCUGGAAAACCUUAAGUUGUCAGAGAGUCCCCUGUGUUCUGCCUAGGAGCACAGGUGGGAAGUUAGGAGGUGAACGAGUUCAGAUGUAAGAGUGGAGUUACAACCGUGGAGCAGGCACUGUCAUUACCUUGUCCCUGGAAGUACUUGUAACCUCUGCAGAAAUGGACCUUCAAUCCCAGCAAAGAUUUCAGGGGUCAUAAGAGCAUUUAGUGCUGGCCUGGGAAUGAGCAAGGACCAACAUUUCUGUAAUUUUGGUUCACACUGCAUGCAUUUGCUUUUGUCCACGUAAGAGUUGUGUAGGUCAGGGGGAUUUUGUGUUCAAAGUGUUUUGGUUGCUUCUUUCUUAACUUACACUUCCUUAGUUUCACAGGUUAGUGCUGGCUAUAGAAUAACUUUCAAAACUCACAGAAUUUGCCACAGGAUUAUUAAAGUGACACCAAGAACAAGUUCAUUGGAUCCUGCAGGGCACUUAAUAUUUGAUCCAAAACUCAAAUUAUAAUUUUGAAUACCAUUUUGUUUUUCUUUUCGGAUAAACUUGUUUAGUUUUAUUUUUGUCAAAACUAUUUGUCAUCAAUUAGAUAAAACGCUUCUAUAAAAUACUUUCUGUUA